This 29-nucleotide non-coding RNA is filed under the name Mus musculus (house mouse). Lineage: Eukaryota; Metazoa; Chordata; Mammalia; Rodentia; Muridae. The record is from RNAcentral.
GAAAACUGUCCUUACGUUGUCUCCGGUGU